RNAcentral lists this ribosomal RNA (464 nucleotides) under uncultured Klebsiella sp. Its description in RNAcentral is "bacterial SSU rRNA". It matches the Rfam family "Bacterial small subunit ribosomal RNA", at positions 339 to 795 of the family's 1533-position model. Lineage: Bacteria; Pseudomonadati; Pseudomonadota; Gammaproteobacteria; Enterobacterales; Enterobacteriaceae. The record is from RNAcentral.
CUACGGGGGGCUGCAGUGGGGAAUAUUGCACAAUGGGCGCAGGCCUGAUGCCGCCAUGCCGCGUGUGUGAAGAAGGCCUUCGGGUUGUAAAGCACUUUCAGCGGGGAGGAAGGCGGUGAGGUUAAUAACCUCAUCGAUUGACGUUACCCGCAGAAGAAGCACCGGCUAACUCCGUGCCAGCAGCCGCGGUAAUACGGAGGGUGCAAGCGUUAAUCGGAAUUACUGGGCCUAAAGCGCACGCAGGCGGUCUGUCAAGUCGGAUGUGAAAUCCCCGGGCUCAACCUGGGAACUGCAUUCGAAACUGGCAGGCUAGAGUCUUGUAGAGGGGGGUAGAAUUCCAGGUGUAGCGGUGAAAUGCGUAGAGAUCUGGAGGAAUACCGGUGGCGAAGGCGGCCCCCUGGACAAAGACUGACGCUCAGGUGCGAAAGCGUGGGGAGCAAACAGGAUUAGAUACCCGAGUAGUC